Molecule: long non-coding RNA, 190 nt
Organism: Pipistrellus kuhlii (Kuhl's pipistrelle)
Lineage: Eukaryota; Metazoa; Chordata; Mammalia; Chiroptera; Vespertilionidae
Exons: 3
Source: RefSeq, a predicted model, not a curated record
CUCGCCAGCUGCCCAUCGCCUUCCAAGGCUUGUGCUGCCGGCAGUGGCAGCAGCAGAGGUGUGAUGGGGCAUCGCCUUUCCCUGAUUGCCGGGUCACCGUCCGCCCCUGAGGAAUCCUGGACUAUGGGAGGGGGCAGGCUGGGCUGAGGGGACCCCCCACCCUAGUGCAUGAAUUUUCAUGCACCAGGCC